RNAcentral lists this ribosomal RNA (458 nucleotides) under uncultured Erysipelotrichaceae bacterium. RNAcentral's name for it is "partial 16S ribosomal RNA". It matches the Rfam family "Bacterial small subunit ribosomal RNA", at positions 341 to 792 of the family's 1533-position model. Lineage: Bacteria; Bacillati; Bacillota; Erysipelotrichia; Erysipelotrichales; Erysipelotrichaceae. The record is from RNAcentral.
ACGGGAGGCAGCAGUAGGGAAUUUUCGGCAAUGGGGGAAACCCUGACCGAGCAACGCCGCGUGAACGAAGAAGGCCUUCGGGUCGUAAAGUUUUGUUGUUAAGGAUGAAAGAUAUUAAUAGGAAAUGAUUAGUAAGUGACAGUACUUGAUUAGAAAGUCACGGCUAACUACGUGCCAGCAGCCGCGGUAAUACGUAGGUGGCAAGCGUUAUCCGGAAUUAUUGGGCGUAAAGGGAGAGUAGGCGGUUUAGAAAGCCUAAAGUUAAAUACUACUGCUCAACGGUAGUCUGCUUUAGGAACUAAUAGACUAGAGUACAGGAGAGGUUAAUGGAAUUCCAUGUGUAGCGGUGAAAUGCGUAGAUAUAUGGAGGAACACCGGUGGCGAAGGCGAUUAACUGGACUGGAACUGACGCUGAGGCUCGAAAGCGUGGGGAGCAAAUAGGAUUAGAUACCCUGGUA